UACAGAGGGUGCAAGCGUUGUUCGGAUUCAUUGGGCGUAAAGGGUGCGUAGGCGGUCGCGCAAGUCGGAUGUGAAAUCUCAGGGCCCAACCCUGAAACUGCAUUCGAUACUGCGUGGCUAGAGUGCUGGAGAGGAGACUGGAAUUUACGGUGUAGCAGUGAAAUGCGUAGAUAUCGUAAGGAAGACCAGUGGCGAAGGCGAGUCUCUGGACAGCAACUGACGCUGAGGCACGAAGGCCAGGGGAGCAAACGGG
Molecule: ribosomal RNA, 253 nt
Filed under: uncultured bacterium
Lineage: Bacteria
Description: partial 16S ribosomal RNA
Rfam family: Bacterial small subunit ribosomal RNA
Source: RNAcentral